RNAcentral lists this unclassified non-coding RNA (253 nucleotides) under uncultured Caryophanales bacterium. RNAcentral describes it as "uncultured Bacillales bacterium contains 16S-23S intergenic spacer region". It matches the Rfam family "Bacterial small subunit ribosomal RNA", at positions 524 to 776 of the family's 1533-position model. Lineage: Bacteria; Bacillati; Bacillota; Bacilli; Caryophanales. The record is from RNAcentral.
UACGUAGGGGGCAAGCGUUGUCCGGAAUUAUUGGGCGGAAAGCGCGCGCAGGCGGAUUCUUAAGUCUGAUGUGAAAGCCCACGGCUUAACAGUGGAGGGUCAUUGGAAACUGGGGAACUGGAGUACAGAAGAGGAGAGUGGAAUUCCACGUGUAGCGGUGAAAUGCGUAGAUAUGUGGGGGAACACCAGGGGCGAAGGCGACUCUCUGGUCUGUAACUGACGCUGAGGCGCGAAAGCGUGGGGAGCGAACAGG